RNAcentral lists this transfer RNA (68 nucleotides) under Ixodes vespertilionis. RNAcentral describes it as "tRNA-Lys". The record is from RNAcentral. RNAcentral also lists the same sequence under 1 other name. Lineage: Eukaryota; Metazoa; Arthropoda; Arachnida; Ixodida; Ixodidae.
CAUUGAAUGGCUGAAAUUUUAAGCAUUGGUCUCUUAAACCACUCUAUAGUGUCUAUCACUUUCAAUGA